RNAcentral lists this small nucleolar RNA (220 nucleotides) under Helobdella robusta. RNAcentral's name for it is "small nucleolar RNA U3". It matches the Rfam family "Small nucleolar RNA U3". Rfam says of the family: Small nucleolar RNAs (snoRNAs) are involved in the processing and modification of rRNA in the nucleolus. There are two main classes of snoRNAs: the box C/D class, and the box H/ACA class. Lineage: Eukaryota; Metazoa; Annelida; Clitellata; Rhynchobdellida; Glossiphoniidae. The record is from Rfam by way of RNAcentral.
AUGAUCAUACUUUUUGGGAUCAUUUCUAUAGUAUGCACGUCAGUCAAAACUGACUAUAACCCUGAAACCAGGAUGACGAGUCGUAGCACCCACUCCUGAGCGUGAGACUCAAAUGCACGUCUGCUUGCUCCCUCAAUGGGAUCUCAGACGUUCGUUUACUGAGGAUCGUUCCUGCCCGACCUAGUUUCAGACUCGAGGGAGCUGGUGCCUACCGACUGGU